Molecule: ribosomal RNA, 254 nt
Filed under: uncultured bacterium
Lineage: Bacteria
Description: partial 16S ribosomal RNA
Rfam family: Bacterial small subunit ribosomal RNA
Source: RNAcentral
GACAGAGGAUGCAAGCGUUGUCCGGAAUUAUUGGGCGUAAAGAGCUCGUAGGCGGUGUGUCGCGUCGGCCGUGAAAACCUGCAGCUUAACUGUGGGCUUGCGGUCGAUACGGGCAUCACUGGAGUUCGGCAGGGGAGACUGGAAUUCCUGGUGUAGCGGUGAAAUGCGCAGAUAUCAGGAGGAACACCGGUGGCGAAGGCGGGUCUCUGGGCCGAUACUGACGCUGAGGAGCGAAAGCGUGGGGAGCGAACAGG